GACGAACGCUGGCGGCGUGCUUAACACAUGCAAGUCGAACGGAAAGGCCCUGCUUUUGUGGGGUGCUCGAGUGGCGAACGGGUGAGUAACACGUGAGUAACCUGCCCUUGACUUUGGGAUAACUUCAGGAAACUGGGGCUAAUACCGGAUAGGAGCUCCUGCUGCAUGGUGGGGGUUGGAAAGUUUCGGCGGUUGGGGAUGGACUCGCGGCUUAUCAGCUUGUUGGUGGGGUAGUGGCUUACCAAGGCUUUGACGGGUAGCCGGCCUGAGAGGGUGACCGGCCACAUUGGGACUGAGAUACGGCCCAGACACCUACGGGAGGCAGAAGUGGGGAAUAUUGAACAAUGGGCGGAAGCCUGAUGCAGCAACGCCGCGUGCGGGAUGACGGCCUUCGGGUUGUAAACCGCUUUCGCCUGUGACGAAGCGUGAGUGACGGUAAUGGGUAAAGAAGCACCGGAUAACUACGUG
Molecule: ribosomal RNA, 468 nt
Filed under: uncultured bacterium
Lineage: Bacteria
Description: partial 16S ribosomal RNA
Rfam family: Bacterial small subunit ribosomal RNA
Source: RNAcentral